CCUACGGGGCGCAGCAGUGGGGAAUAUUGGACAAUGGGCGAAAGCCUGAUCCAGCCAUGCCGCGUGUGUGAAGAAGGCCUUCGGGUUGUAAAGCACUUUCAGUGGGGAAGAAAGCCUUGGGGCUAAUACCCUCGAGGAAGGACAUCACCCACAGAAGAAGCACCGGCUAACUCCGUGCCAGCAGCCGCGGUAAUACGGAGGGUGCGAGCGUUAAUCGGAAUUACUGGGCGUAAAGCGCGCGUAGGCGGUCUGAUAAGCCGGUUGUGAAAGCCCCGGGCUCAACCUGGGAACGGCAUCCGGAACUGUCAGGCUAGAGUGCAGGAGAGGAAGGUAGAAUUCCCGGGGUAGCGGUGAAAUGCGUAGAGAUCGGGAGGAAUACCAGUGGCGAAGGCGGCCUUCUGGACUGACACUGACGCUGAGGUGCGAAAGCGUGGGUAGCAAACAGGAUUAGAUACCCUGGUAGUC
RNAcentral lists this ribosomal RNA (465 nucleotides) under Vreelandella stevensii. RNAcentral's name for it is "partial 16S ribosomal RNA". It matches the Rfam family "Bacterial small subunit ribosomal RNA", at positions 338 to 795 of the family's 1533-position model. The record is from RNAcentral. Lineage: Bacteria; Pseudomonadati; Pseudomonadota; Gammaproteobacteria; Oceanospirillales; Halomonadaceae.